This is a long non-coding RNA of Mytilus californianus (California mussel), 913 nucleotides long. RefSeq lists it as uncharacterized. The transcript has 3 exons. Lineage: Eukaryota; Metazoa; Mollusca; Bivalvia; Mytilida; Mytilidae. The record is from RefSeq and is a predicted model, not a curated record.
AAACAUUUGAAGGGAAAUCUAGAUCUAGAAAGUUUUAAAUAUUAGAAGAAGUUAAGUGAUUUUAUUUCAAUCGCAAUUGCAGAAAAUGAACCUUAGUAUUUCUCUAAUGGUUAUCUACAGUAGACACUUUAUACUGCUCCUACUUAAUAAAAUUCUGCAAAUCUCUGCUGAACAGUGCACACCUGAAAUCUUCACGGUAAAUCCAGAUAAAAGGGAUGUAAAAUUACAGGGAUUUAUCUAUCGUUCGUUUGAUCAAACACCACCAAGAGCUUGCUUCAUAAAAUGUAUCCGACGACCACGAUGCCAUUCUUACAACUAUAACAGGGUCCAUCUUACAUGCGAGAUUAAUCUGAAACCAGAGUAUCUUUAUGAUGUGUACUUUCAACAUGCCAACGGUUAUAUCUACGUUGUGAUUCAACAUUACAGAGGGAAUACCCUUUUUGACCCGUGUGUAGGAAAUCUAUGCAGCACAGAUGAAGUUUGUGCAAGCCUAAAGAAUAAAAAGAUUAUUUGUAUAAAGGUUGAUGUUAAUAUACCGAACGAAAAUCCUGAAAUGUGGCGCUUAGAAAGCCCACCCAACAAAGCUCAACGGCACGGUCAGACUUUUCUGCAUCUAAAGCUGUUGAUGGCUUAACACAUACGAUUUCACACACAGACAAUAAUUUAUCACCAUAUUUGUGGAUUGAUCUGGAAAUCAUUUACAACAUUUUUCGGAUUGAAAUUAUCAACAGAAACAGAUAUGGUACGUUUUUAAUGUUAACCAAAUAAAUUUUGAGUAAUAUUUCAACGCUAAGUGUUACAUGUGAAACCUUGGGAUAAGAUCAACUGGUAAUUGCAACGAUGUGGUCUUCCUGCAAAUAUGUCUGAUUGUGUGGUGUUUUUUUUUUUUUUUUAAUAUAUUUUGUACAAUGUU